CGGAACGGGUGAGUAACGCGUGAGGAACCUGCCUCAAAGAGGGGGGCAACAGUUGGAAACGACUGCUAAUACCGCAUAAGCCCACGGCUCGGCAUCGAGCAGAGGGAAAAGGAGCAAUCCGCUUUGAGAUGGCCUCGCGUCCGAUUAGCUAGUUGGUGAGGUAACGGCCCACCAAGGCGACGAUCGGUAGCCGGACUGGGAGGUUGAACGGCCACAUUGGGACUGAGACACGGCCCAG
Molecule: ribosomal RNA, 238 nt
Filed under: uncultured bacterium
Lineage: Bacteria
Description: partial 16S ribosomal RNA
Rfam family: Bacterial small subunit ribosomal RNA
Source: RNAcentral